UGAGGAAUAUUGGUCAAUGGACGCAAGUCUGAACCAGCCAAGUAGCGUGCAGGAUGACGGCCCUAUGGGUUGUAAACUGCUUUUAUAUGGGGAUAAAGUGGGGAACGUGUUCCCUUUUGCAGGUACCAUAUGAAUAAGGACCGGCUAAUUCCGUUCCAGCAGCCGCGGUAAUACGGAAGGUUCGGGCGUUAUCCGGAUUUAUUGGGUUUAAAGGGAGCGUAGGCCGUUUGGUAAGCGUGUUGUGAAAUGUAGGAGCUCAACUUCUAGAUUGCAGCGCGAACUGUCAGACUUGAGUGCGCACAACGUAGGCGGAAUUCAUGGUGUAGCGGUGAAAUGCUUAGAUAUCAUGAAGAACUCCGAUUGCGAAGGCAGCUUACGGGAGCGAAACUGACGCUGAAGCUCGACGGUGCGGGUAUCGAACAGG
Molecule: ribosomal RNA, 424 nt
Filed under: Verrucomicrobiota bacterium
Lineage: Bacteria; Pseudomonadati; Verrucomicrobiota
Description: Verrucomicrobia bacterium partial 16S ribosomal RNA
Rfam family: Bacterial small subunit ribosomal RNA
Source: RNAcentral